GAUGAACGCUAGCGGCAGGCCUAACACAUGCAAGUCGAGGGGUAUAGUUCUUCGGAACUAGAGACCGGCGCACGGGUGCGUAACGCGUAUGCAAUCUACCUUUUACAGGGGAAUAGCCCAGAGAAAUUUGGAUUAAUGCCCCAUAGUGUUAUAGAAUCGCAUGGUUUUAUAACUAAAGUUCCAACGGUAAAAGAUGAGCAUGCGUCCCAUUAGUUAGUUGGUAAGGUAACGGCUUACCAAGACAAUGAUGGGUAGGGGUCCUGAGAGGGAGAUCCCCCACACUGGUACUGAGACACGGACCAGACUCCUACGGGAGGCAGCAGUGAGGAAUAUUGGACAAUGGGCGGCAAGACCUGAUCCAGCCAUGCCGCGUGCAGGAAGACGGUCCUAUGGAUUGUAAACUGCUUUUGUACAGGAAGAAACACUCCCUCGUGAGGGAGCUUGACGGUACUGUAAGAAUAAGGAUCGGCUAACUCCGUG
This 480-nucleotide ribosomal RNA is filed under the name uncultured bacterium. Its description in RNAcentral is "bacterial SSU rRNA". It matches the Rfam family "Bacterial small subunit ribosomal RNA", at positions 28 to 507 of the family's 1533-position model. The record is from RNAcentral.